RNAcentral lists this ribosomal RNA (384 nucleotides) under Bacillus subtilis. Its description in RNAcentral is "bacterial SSU rRNA". It matches the Rfam family "Bacterial small subunit ribosomal RNA", at positions 1044 to 1429 of the family's 1533-position model. The record is from RNAcentral. Lineage: Bacteria; Bacillati; Bacillota; Bacilli; Caryophanales; Bacillaceae.
CAUGGUUGUCGUCAGCUCGUGUCGUGAGAUGUUGGGUUAAGUCCCGCAACGANCGCNACCCUUGAUCUUAGUUGCCAGCAUUCAGUUGGGCACUCUAAGGUGACUGCCGGUGACAAACCGGAGGAAGGUGGGGAUGACGUCAAAUCAUCAUGCCCCUUAUGACCUGGGCUACACACGUGCUACAAUGGACAGAACAAAGGGCAGCGAAACCGCGAGGUUAAGCCAAUCCCACAAAUCUGUUCUCAGUUCGGAUCGCAUUCUGCAACUCGACUGCGUGAAGCUGGAAUCGCUAGUAAUCGCGGAUCAGCAUGCCGCGGUGAAUACNUUCCCGGGCCUUGUACACACCGCCCGUCACACCACGAGAGUUUGUAACACCCGAANUCG